AGUCAAGUAAUUAAGUGCAUGUGGUGGAUGCCUUGGCAGUCAGAGGCGAUGAAAGACGUGAUAGCCUGCGAAAAGCUCCGGGGAGGCGGCAAAUAUCCUUUGAUCCGGAGAUGUCUGAAUGGGGGAACCCACCUACUUUAAGGUAGGUAUUGCAACAUGAAUACAUAGUGUUGCAAGGCGAACGAGGGGAAGUGAAACAUCUCAGUACCCUUAGGAAAAGAAAUCAAUUGAGAUUCCCUCAGUAGCGGCGAGCGAACGGGGAUCAGCCCAUUAAGUUAUGUGUGUUUUAGUGGAACGCUCUGGGAAGUGCGAACGUAGAGGGUGAUAUUCCCGUACACGAAAGGGCACACAUAAUGAUGACGAGUAGGGCGAGGCACGUGAAACCUUGUCUGAAUAUGGGGGGACCAUCCUCCAAGGCUAAAUACUCCUGACUGACCGAUAGUGAACCAGUACCGUGAGGGAAAGGCGAAAAGAACCCCUGUGAGGGGAGUGAAAUAGAUCCUGAAACCGCAUGCAUACAAGCAGUGGGAGCACCUUCGUGGUGUGACUGCGUACCUUUUGUAUAAUGGGUCAGCGACUUAUAUUCAGUAGCGAGGUUAACCGUAUAGGGGAGCCGUAGAGAAAUCGAGUCUUAAUAGGGCGUUUAGUUGCUGGGUAUAGACCCGAAACCAGGCGAUCUAUCCAUGAGCAGGUUGAAGGUUGGGUAACACUAACUGGAGGACCGAACCCACUGUCGUUGAAAAGCCAGGGGAUGACUUGUGGAUAGGGGUGAAAGGCUAAUCAAGCCUGGUGAUAGCUGGUUCUCCCCGAAAGCUAUUUAGGUAGCGCCUCGGACGAAUACCAUAGGGGGUAGAGCACUGUUUCGGCUAGGGGGUCAUCCCGACUUACCAAACCGAUGCAAACUCCGAAUACCUAUGAGUACUAUCCGGGAGACAGACUGCGGGUGCUAACGUCCGUAGUCAAGAGGAAAACAAUCCAGACCGCCAGCUAAGGCCCCAAAAUCAUAGUUAAGUGGGAAACGAUGUGGGAAGGCAUAGACAGCUAGGAGGUUGGCUUAGAAGCAGCCACCCUUUAAAGAAAGCGUAAUAGCUCACUAGUCGAGUCGGCCUGCGCGGAAGAUGUAACGGGGCUAAAACUAUGUGCCGAAGCUGCGGAUGUAUACUUUGUAUACGUGGUAGGGGAGCGUUCUGUAAGCCGAUGAAGGUGUGUUGAGAAGCAUGCUGGAGGUAUCAGAAGUGCGAAUGCUGACGUGAGUAACGACAAAACGGGUGAAAAACCCGUUCGCCGAAAGACCAAGGGUUCCAGUCCAACGUUAAUCGGGGCUGGGUGAGUCGACCCCUAAGGCGAGGCCGAAAGGCGUAGUCGAUGGGAAAAUGGUUAAUAUUCCAUUACUUCUGUGUAAUGCGAUGAGAGGACGGAGAAGGCUAAAUCAGCCUGGCGUUGGUUGUCCAGGUGAAAGGAUGUAGGCAUGUAUCUUAGGCAAAUCCGGGGUACUCUAUGCUGAGAUCUGAUAGCAAGCUGUACUUGUACAGCGAAGUGGUUGAUGCCAUGCUUCCAGGAAAAGUCUCUAAGCUUCAGUUACACAGGAAUCGUACCCGAAACCGACACAGGUGGUCAGGUCGAGUAGACCAAGGCGCUUGAGAGAACUCUGCUGAAGGAACUAGGCAAAAUGGUACCGUAACUUCGGGAGAAGGUACGCUGUUGUUGGUGAUGGAACUUGCUUCCUGAGCUGACGACAGCCGCAGAAACCAGGCCGCUGCAACUGUUUAUUAAAAACAUAGCACUCUGCAAACACGAAAGUGGACGUAUAGGGUGUGAUGCCUGCCCGGUGCUGGAAGGUUAAUUGAUGGGGUUAGCGUAAGCGAAGCUCUUGAUCGAAGCCCCAGUAAACGGCGGCCGUAACUAUAACGGUCCUAAGGUAGCGAAAUUCCUUGUCGGGUAAGUUCCGACCUGCACGAAUGGCAUAAUGAUGGCGGCGCUGUCUCCAGCAGAGGCUCAGUGAAAUCGAAAUCGCUGUGAAGAUGCAGUGUACCCGCGGCUAGACGGAAAGACCCCGUGAACCUUUACUGCAGCUUGACACUGAACUUUGACCUUACUUGUGUAGGAUAGGUGGGAGGCUUUGAAGCUGGAACGCUAGUUCCAGUGGAGCCGUCCUUGAAAUACCACCCUGGUAAUGUUGAGGUUCUAACUCUGUCCCGUGAUCCGGGACGAGGACCGUGUCUGGUGGGUAGUUUGACUGGGGCGGUCUCCUCCUAAAGAGUAACGGAGGAGUACGAAGGUGCGCUCAGCGUGGUCGGAAAUCACGCGUAGAGUAUAAAGGCAAAAGCGCGCUUAACUGCGAGACCCACAAGUCGAGCAGGUACGAAAGUAGGUCUUAGUGAUCCGGUGGUUCUGUAUGGAAGGGCCAUCGCUCAACGGAUAAAAGGUACUCUGGGGAUAACAGGCUGAUACCGCCCAAGAGUUCAUAUCGACGGCGGUGUUUGGCACCUCGAUGUCGGCUCAUCUCAUCCUGGGGCUGAAGCAGGUCCCAAGGGUAUGGCUGUUCGCCAUUUAAAGAGGUACGCGAGCUGGGUUUAGAACGUCGUGAGACAGUUCGGUCCCUAUCUACCGUGGGCGCUGGAAAUUUGAGAGGAUCUGCUCCUAGUACGAGAGGACCAGAGUGGACGAACCUCUGGUGUACCGGUUGUGACGCCAGUCGCAUCGCCGGGUAGCUAUGUUCGGAAGGGAUAACCGCUGAAAGCAUCUAAGCGGGAAGCCUACCUCAAGAUAAGAUUUCCCUAGGACUUUAUGUCCUCUAAAGAGCCGUUCGAGACUAGGACGUUGAUAGGUUGGAUGUGGAAGCAUAGUGAUAUGUGAAGCUGACCAAUACUAAUUGCUCGUGAGGCUUGACUAUACAACACCC
RNAcentral lists this ribosomal RNA (2902 nucleotides) under Acinetobacter baumannii. RNAcentral's name for it is "LSU rRNA". It matches the Rfam family "Bacterial large subunit ribosomal RNA". The record is from RNAcentral. Lineage: Bacteria; Pseudomonadati; Pseudomonadota; Gammaproteobacteria; Moraxellales; Moraxellaceae. RNAcentral also lists the same sequence under 2 other names.